This 387-nucleotide unclassified non-coding RNA is filed under the name soil metagenome. RNAcentral describes it as "partial contains 5.8S ribosomal RNA, internal transcribed spacer 2, and large subunit ribosomal RNA". The stretch from base 1 to 120 matches the Rfam family "5.8S ribosomal RNA", at positions 35 to 154 of the family's 154-position model. The record is from RNAcentral.
GAUGAAGAACGUAGCGAAAUGCGAUAAGUAAUGUGAAUUGCAGAAUUCAGUGAAUCAUCGAAUCUUUGAACGCACAUUGCGCCCAUUAGUAUUCUAGUGGGCAUGCCUGUUCGAGCGUCAUUAAUUCCACUUAAGCCCUGCUUAGUGUUGGGAUUCUACUCUAGUGGUGCUACCCUGGAGCUACCCCUGAAAGGGGGCUGGCCCGGUAGCUACCCUGUAGUUCCUCAAAGAUAGUGCGCGGAGUUGCGUGGUCCUCUGAGCUUAGUAACUAUACACCUAGCUUUUGAGUGUCCCGCGGCGCCUGCCGUUUAAACCCCAUCUUUUAAUGGUUGACCUCGGAUCAGGUAGGAAUACCCGCUGAACUUAAGCAUAUCAAUAAGCGGAGGA